Molecule: long non-coding RNA, 1659 nt
Organism: Apis dorsata (giant honeybee)
Lineage: Eukaryota; Metazoa; Arthropoda; Insecta; Hymenoptera; Apidae
Exons: 2
Source: RefSeq, a predicted model, not a curated record
GCUAAGAACUUCGUAUCUUGGAGGCAACAGUCGUAUGCAUUGGCGAAAGCAUUGCCAGCUAUCAGUAUUAGUUCGGCCGUCCUCAUGUGCGCACUCGAGGCGCUCUACGCGACACCGUUACGACCAUUUCAUUAGAGAAAAACGAACUUUUACGCGUAUGAGACUUCGAUGUGAUAGAGUGAGGUUAACCGGAACAAAAACAGUAUCGGGAAGUAAAAUAAUUUUAAAACGUUGACACUUGUUUUAAUAGCAUUAAUUAAUAAUAAAGAAAUAAAAAAGAUAAAAAAGAAAAAAGAAAAGUGUUUUUCCAAGAUACGAUUUGUCGAAACAAUCGAAUGUUUGAUUAUUCUCUUCCUUGUUUAACCGGUUAAUCGAUAGAAGAUUAUUAAUAACUUUUAUUGUUGCGGCAAUAACGUCAGUGUAAACGAACAGUAUCUUCUGAUUUAUGUUUAAAAUCUUUUAUAUACAAUCGUUGAUGAAAAUGUCCAGUGAUUGUUGAUAUUACGUAAAAAAUAUACGUGCGGAAUAUGAAUCGUGUUGCAACGUAAAGAUAAAUAAUCGAAUUAAAUUAGUUUUAUUCGCAUAAUUCUUCACAACUCGUGUAAUCCAUUUGAAAUAAGUCAUUCGCGAAGCCGUAUCGAAUAACCGGUCUUUUUUUUCCUUUCUCGUCCUUUGCUUCUGUCAGCGAACGAGUCCGGAUAUACGCUUGUUUUUCAUAACGGUCUGGAAGUAAACAAAACAGUCUGUUCGAUCGGUCAUUGGUAACAGAAAUAGUCCCGAUGAAAAUGGACGGAUAUUAACGGUACGAUUUUGCAUGUGUGUGCAUGUGCGUACAUAUGCGUACGUAUAUAUCAAGAGAAGAUAAAAGAGUCGGAAAAUCUUGGAUUGAUAUCUAAGAAAUCUUAUUUAAACAUCAUUCUUGCGAUAAAAAUCAAGUAAAAUCUUUGUAUAAUGGAAAAUUAAUGAAAUUAACAGUGUUUUUUGAAAUUUCGUGAAAUGUGUCAUAUUGUUGCAUCCAUGAUGGCGACAGGAUUUCGCAGGAUGUCAAAAAAUUGUUCAACGGGACUUGAUCUUAAAUAAGAACGAUCGAUUGAUUCUGCAAUUCUAUAUUGCAUUAAGUUAAUAUUCUGUUUAAGAUGAUUUAAAAAUCUAUCAAAAAUUAUGAAGAUAUGGAAAUUUUAAUCGGAUAAUCAAAAAUUAUGAGAAAAUUUUUUUAAACAUUUAUCAGUAAUUUUUGUUUAAAAAUUUGAAUUUAUUAACUAUUUUUAUGUAUAAAAAAUAAUCAUAUAAAAGUGUCCAAUAUCAAAAAAUUUAUAUGAAUUGAAGAAUUUUUAAGAAACAAAUUAAUCUCGAGCGUUUUCGGCCCGAUAAAAUUUGAAUGAAUUGUAGAAGAUCAACUUAAAUUUUAUCAUACGCGAGACUAUUUAAAGUUGAUAUUGUGAAAUAUAAGAUGAUGAUACGUGGUGUGUUGUAAAUGUUUUGGCAAAUGAGAACAUCUUGAUAUUUUCGAGGAUCGAAACUGCUAUUGUGACUUUUACAAGGAUUAGAAGAACAAGUGUCGCUGCGUCAUGAAUACACCGCAAGAGCCGAAGCAGUACCGUUCGCCGUAUGGGUGCCUGGGUUGACGAUCGUUUCGCGGCGGAGGAGGCGGUCCCGAUU